This 212-nucleotide long non-coding RNA is filed under the name Elaeis guineensis (African oil palm). Its description in RNAcentral is "long non-coding RNA (EGUI_LNC037594)". Lineage: Eukaryota; Viridiplantae; Streptophyta; Magnoliopsida; Arecales; Arecaceae. The record is from RNAcentral.
UAGUCAUUAUUGGCUCUUAACUAUGAAGGAAAGGAAACAGUUUUCCUCCAAAAUAUCCAGGUUGCAUCUAAAUAUUUUUUCUAAUAUUUUAUUUAUUUAAAGAUCAAAUUCUUAUCUGAAUCGUAGUGGAACUAGAGAUCAAAUCUCAAAUUAUCUGAUAUAAAUCUUCACGAAGGUCUGGAUAUGCGACCCUCUACUUCGCAUGCACGUCA